GGCCCGAUGGUCUAGUAGAAUGAUUGUUGUUUCGGGAUACUCUCCCCACGUAUACUCGUGAUAGAAUAUGACAGGUCCCGGGUUCAAAUCCCGGUCGGGCCC
Non-coding RNA from Sclerotinia nivalis, 102 nucleotides. The record is from the annotation of a GenBank genome assembly. Lineage: Eukaryota; Fungi; Ascomycota; Leotiomycetes; Helotiales; Sclerotiniaceae.